UUGUACUGAUAUAAUCUUCAGUCUUUUAUUCCAAAACACUCAGUGGCUAAGAGGGCAAUGCAGUGGUUUGAUUUUUGAGACAUCAAGAGGAUGCUACAAAUAAUAUGCUUAGUAUGCAUUUAUAUAGAUUUCUGUGGAAAAAAAAAUUGAAGCAGAUAAAAAUGGAUUUUGAUGUUCUACAGAUUACUCACGGUACCAUAAUAAUUUCAUGUUCUGAAAGGAACUAUUUUCUUGGGACAGAAAAGAAUCCUGUUUGAUCAGUCAACAGUCAAGAAAAGGAGAAGGAAGCAAUCUUAUUUCUGUUUGUACCUGAUUCUUCCCCUGAGUUCAUUUUCUAAGAGACUACAUAACCUUUUCAGAAUAAAGAACUGUUUUUCUCUUUAGAGCUCAGAAUCAGAUUUUUUUCAUUCAUGAAACGAGUGAAUACACACUUAAGCUAGCUGAGGCACUCUUAUAAAUCCCAGCUGUUUUUCAACAUAACAGUCUCCACAGCUCCAUCUUUUCAUUACAACUCCACAGUUAAAAUGACACACACAGAAGUCUUACAGUGCCUAACAACCUUCUUUGCUGUUAUACUCACCUCUCCACUUGGCUUCACCCGGAACAAGAUGACAAGCAUUCCAUAUGCUGUGCUGGGAGGACUAUGAUUCCUGAUACCAAUAAUUUCUUCUUCCUCAUUGUAGGAACUACUUGGGGUAAUUUUAUGUUUGUUUGCUAAUGUACUCUGUGCUCUUUCUUCAGUGGUCCACAACUCCAGUGCUUGCAGACCAACUGGAAUCAUUUAUAAAUACCAACAGAAAUAAUGAAUUUUCUGCAUGAAAAUGUUGCAAUUUCUUUAGAUAUACACAUAUGAAAGGACUACUUCAAAGAAUUGUUUGGCUUAUAUUGCAGUAUUAAGGCCAUCUGUAAGGAAAACUCAUUUAAGGAGUUAUAAAACAACAAUUUCCAGUAACAAAGUAAAGAGCCAAACAUGAGUAAGAGAUCAUGAGCUCAGAUCAGUAUUUUAAGUAAAUAUACUUGCUGAUGACAGAGCUGGGUUUGUAUAAAAUGGGAUAAGAAAACAUAAGGAGGAAGACAUGGAACUCAGGUAUUUUCACUUACAAAAGGGAAAGAAUGAAUGACUUCUUAUGCCACUAGAGAUAGAAUAAAACAUAACAGGGCUCACUUAAAAUGCAACUUGCUUAGAUUCAUGUGUAUAAAUAAUAUAUGUGUAAGUAAUGUAUGUUUACAUAUAUAGUUUUCCAUAUGUACUUUGGGAAGCUGUCAUGAUUUUGUAACUUUGCUAUUGGUAUUCCACAUCAUAUCAUGGACAAAAGAGAAGAACUACGUAUCCAAGAGGACCUCACAGUCAGAGAAGGAAUAUACAUCACAGAAGAUACGUCAUCUGGUUGCGCACAGUCUUUUUCACUUUCGCUAGCUGCCAGGGAGAGGAGUGGGUGUGCAUUCCAAGCUGUGCGCCUUCAUCAAGUAGGGCUUUCAGUUUCGGAAACUCUCUCACUCUCUCUCUCUCUCUCUCUCUAUCGCUCUUUCACUCUCUCUCAUUUCAUUUGAUUUAUUAUCCUUACUCCCAAUUAGAUUGUAUGUUAUCGUGUCAUCUUGCACUCCAACAUCGUAGUUAGUAAAAUAAGUUCUC
RNAcentral lists this long non-coding RNA (1633 nucleotides) under Gallus gallus (chicken). RNAcentral describes it as "lncRNA (ENSGALG00010008624.1)". Lineage: Eukaryota; Metazoa; Chordata; Aves; Galliformes; Phasianidae. The record is from RNAcentral.